UUCGAACAUCGACAAGUCGAACGCACAUUGCUGGCCCGAAACCCUGGCGUUUCGGGUCACGUACAUCCGAGGGUCG
This 76-nucleotide ribosomal RNA is filed under the name Bactericera trigonica. RNAcentral's name for it is "partial 5.8S ribosomal RNA". The record is from RNAcentral. Lineage: Eukaryota; Metazoa; Arthropoda; Insecta; Hemiptera; Triozidae.